AAUUCCAUUUAAUACAGAGAAAAAGAAGGUGGCCCAAUAUUUUAAAAAAAUAUACUCCCAUCCGUCGACUGCUUCUCCCUCUCCUCUUCCCCACAAUCCAAUUUCUCCCCCAAAUUGAAAAGGAAGAACCCUAGACUCCAACUCCACCGCCAUUUCCCGUCACCAUCGCCGACCCCCCGGCAGCCACCUUCAUCGCGCCUCACGGAGGUGUUCCGCCGACUCCGACGCUACCUCUCUCCCUCUCUUUCCAUCUCACACUCAAAUUCCCAGUUUAGAACUUGAGGUCAAACCCUAGUUUCCCUUCUCCCUCUUUCUUCUCGGCGAACUUCGCCGCUGCACCGGCCGCCACGCACUCCGUCGCCGGCACCAUCUUCUUCACCCUCAAUUUCACGCCGCAAAUCCCCAAAUGGGGAAACCCUAAUCGAAGAGGGCUCGAAGGCGCCUCGCCCGCCGGCCACCCCGAUCGGUACACCUUCGCACUACCGCCGUCGUCGCUUUCUUCCUCGGCGUCUCGCGUUGGGCGCCUCCCCUGCCUUCGCGGCGUUUUCGACGCGGAACAAGAAUGGUCGUCGCCUCCUUGGUGGAACCGCCGCCGAUGUCGCCCGCCGAGGCUCACGCUGCCGCCGCUGUCUCUCGGCCUAGAAACAGUGACGCUGCUGUCUCGGUGCAGUCGGUGUAAUCGACGCCGGGUCAGCCUCCUCGCUCCAUACACCUACGCCUGCCGUCCCUUCGCCGUCGACACAGCAGCUGUCUCGUGGCAGCUUCCGGGGCUUCGUCGUCCAUCGAUCUCGCUCAAGCUAAGUCCCCUACUCCUUCAUUGUUUGGUGUAGUACAUCCUUAUCCUUGAGUUAUGCUAUUUUUAGGAAUUUGGGGUGUGGAUUCGGUAGAAAAUAGUUCGACAAUUUGAGCUUGAUUGGAGUGAUUCUCCUAUACGCCUAAAUUCCAGUUAUGAUUUAACAUGCUAUCCUUAAGCUUUAGGCAGUGGCUUGUGAGGAUAGUGUCAUAUGGGGUUACUACUGUCAUUGUUGAGAUUCUACCUAUGUGAUGGUUGUUUCUUGCUAUUGAUGUGAGGAGUCUAUUGAAAUCCUAAGUUCUCAGCUUUCUAUUGGGUUGUUCUACAUGAUGCAGGUGUGGUGUUAUGGGGAUUACCUCUUGUGACUGUGAUGGAAUUUGGCUGCCUAGUUGUUGCUCACAACUGCUCCACUUUCUUCUCUAUGCGGCUGGUAUUUGCAGUGUGUGUGGUAAAGGGGACUUGAUGCAUGUGGAGGGGUUUUCUUAUAGGCCAAGUGUGUGCCUAUGAGGGAAUUAUAUGGGCUGAUUCCUUUGUUUCUUAUGCACAGUGCACAAUGAGAGUGUAAGGCGGUUAACUGCAGCUUUGCAGGGUUGCUGCAGCUGCUGGGACAGAUGUUGCAGGAUGACCUUGCCAUUUUGGGCAAGGCUCAUUUUCUUUAUCGAAAUGUAGUGUUUGCUCUUCCCUUUAAGUGUAGGCUGUUAAGUGCUUUAGUAUCUCAUGUGUUUUUAGUUUGAUUUGUUUGUAUUCUGCAUGAACUAUGAACUGAUCACACCCAGCUCCCAACUUGCUGAUCUUGGCCCAACGGGCCGUCGUAAAUCGGGCCGAAAACUGGGCCUAAGGAAGGGGCCGAAGCUUAGCAUUUCUAAAUUGUAAUAGGGUAGUGCUUUUCCAAGCUUUCUUUCUUUCAAACAUGUAUGAAACAUAUAUAAAAGUUAGAAUGUAUGGCUUUCGAGCACCAUUAGUUCGAAAUAAAACAAAUAUCGUCGUUCCCCUUUUUUUCUGUA
This is a long non-coding RNA of Salvia splendens (bonfire salvia), 1797 nucleotides long. RefSeq lists it as uncharacterized. The record is from RefSeq and is a predicted model, not a curated record. NCBI's taxonomy places the organism in Eukaryota, Viridiplantae, Streptophyta, Magnoliopsida, Lamiales, Lamiaceae. The transcript has 2 exons.